This 256-nucleotide unclassified non-coding RNA is filed under the name Hevea brasiliensis (rubber tree). Lineage: Eukaryota; Viridiplantae; Streptophyta; Magnoliopsida; Malpighiales; Euphorbiaceae. The record is from RNAcentral.
UUAGCUUGAAAGGAAAGGACUUGCUAAAUUCCAAUGGCAACAAUGAUUGCAAAAGGUACCCAUGGAAGUCUAGUCCCUUCUUUCUUCCUCAAUCCACUAUUGGUUUUUUCAAGAACAUUGCAGAAAGUGUAUUUGGGUACAUUGGUUCUACAUCACUAUCUAGCCCAUUAUCAUCUGGAUCUUUUCCUAAAGAUGAUAAUCAAUCUCAGACUCAUGAAGAGAGAGGAAUACUGGAAAACUGUGAUCUCUGCACAGA